CAUUUUAGUAGCAUAUUUGUCCAAUACGUCUUCCAAGUCAUAAGCUAAGUCCCUGAGAUCAUCCAGCCAAAGCUUCAGCGGCUUGCUCUCGGUGAUUAGUUGCCUCUCCUCCGCCUCAUUCAGAACCGCUCCAAUUGCAGACAAGGUGGCAGUCCAUUUCUGCAGCUUUUGGUCGACGCCCUUUAUGAGUCCAAAGUACUUGAACACCUCACGACGCGCCAACUUGUCGACCAGCACUUGAAGGAAUGCCACAAGAUAAGCCUCUCCCAUAGUUUCUGGAGAAAAGCGAGCAAUCAAAGAAAAUGUAAGGAGUUGUUUCUUGAAGCAGCUUGAUUAGAAAUGCAUAAACUGAAACAAGCUAAAUUAGAAAUGCAAUAAAGAAAAGGAAUUUUGAGCAGACAAAAUAAAAUACAAGAAACUAAAAAAAAACAAAAAACAAAAGGCACCAAACAGAAUAAAUCAGAAGUACCUGUAGUUUAAGUAUAUGAUAUUUAUCAGCAGCAGAUUUCUUCACGAAUUACCGAAGGUGUCGCAAUGAACAAGAAGGAAAAUCCAAAGGCAAUACACAGUUACACACUUAUAGAACCAAAGAGAUCAAGAGAGCCAGAACCAAGACAUAAUAAAUAUGAAGAUGGAUGAAACUAAUUAUGGGUUUGAGAAUUUUGAGUUGACGGAAAAGACUCCGAAACAAAGACUGUAGAUAAGGAAAACGCAAUGCAAAUUCCCCAGCCUUUACAUAGAAAAAGUAGAAUGCUUAUUUACUUUGUUUUGGUCAAAAUGAAAAGUAGAAGCUGAUAAUUGAGUUUUGAAUCAUUGGAGUGUCUAGUCUAUUCUAAUGGCCCAGCUCCAGCUCAUGCCGCGUCCUUCUGUCUCAUUACGUUUGAUUCUGACAUGGUUUAUUUUUAAAAUCACUCACAUCACACUUGCUUUUGUCCAGCCACAUAUUAUGAUUAAUUUCACCAAUAAAUUUUGAUGAGGUUGGUCACAUAUUGGUUCUCCCUCACUCUCAUUUCAUGGAAGUUCAAACGGGCUCUAAGAUAAAUACGUCAAUGGCUAUAAAUUCACAUAUUUUUUUUCGCAUUUCCUUUUUGGUUAAAUCUUGACACAUAUGGACUGUAACAGUCUAAAUGACCAAUCCAACUCUUAGAAUGUCAUCUAAAUACCUAGAUUUGUAAUCAGCCAUAUAUAUCCUCACACUACAAGAUCGCUGGAAGGUACUUAUAAUGUAUCCUGCUGUGAGAUUAUAUUGUAUAAACCUGUCAACUCAACUGAAUAUAGAAUCCUCUAGGCAACAAAAAGUCUAAUAAGACCUAAAAACAAUGGGGUGACAUGUCAACACCAAAAGAAUAUAAAAAGUUCAGAGUGGAAAGAAAUAAAAAGAAAACAAACGAUGAAGAUGUCAGCGCAACCAAAUUGGUAUAUACAAUUUAGUGCCUAACCGACUGAGGAUUGAGGUAAAAAAAAUAAAAAAUAAAAACAAAGUCCCCAAGACUUUUCAUCCUGCCGACACCAAAGUUACAGAAAUUACUGUGUUUGAUUUUUGGAUUCCUUUAACUGCUGCCACCAGCACGUUACAUAGAAAAAGUAGAAAGCUUUUUUUUUUUUUUUUUUUUCCGGUCAAAAAGAAAAGUAGAAUCUGAUAAUUGAGUUUUGAAUAGUUUGUCUAGUCUAAUGGCCCAGCUCAUGCUGCGUUCUUCCUGUAAGUGAGCAACAAAUUUGGACUGAAGAAGGAGAACAGCUCCAGCACUGCAUUCUUCCUGUAAGUGAGUUUUCAAUCAAGUCUAGUGUUAGUCUAAUGGCCCAGCUCCAGCACUGCUUCUGUUUGACUCUGUUUUCAACUCACUCACAUCACACUUGCUUUUGUCCAACCCCGUUAUGAAUUCACCAAUAAAAUUUAGUGCCGAAUAUAUGAACCCUUUCUUUGGACGACAACGACCAUGAAAUUGCAGAAGACCAUAAAAUUAUUUCGUUCAGGGCGCCACUGGCUCCAUAACCAAUUCAGGUACAAGGUCCUUCUUAAGCCUUCUCUUCAACGCAAAAUGAACAUGUGCUACCAAUUCACCUUUUUCCGACCAAAAAACCAAGAAGAAAAAUACACGAGUAAAUCAAACUUUUUUUUUUUUUUUAAUACUUAUUUUAUUUAUACAUAAUUUCUAACUAUUGUGCAAGUUCAAUGUUCAAGCAACCGUAACAUGAUGGACUUGUGCAAUUUUGGUUCAUCGAAGUAAUUGAGAACUCUGAUUUUGUUGAAUGUCCAAACACUCUUGAAUAAUGAAAUUGUACACAAAGAAUUACACACUCUCUUCGAUAUUGAAGUUAGAUAAAUACUUUAAAAUGUAGGUUUUGAGUUAAUUUUGUUUUUUUAUUUAUUAUAUAGUUUUCCUUAAAAUAUAUGUUAUUUUAAGUAAUUAAGAAAAAUUAAAAACUAAAAUGUAAUAUUUUUCUUCUUCUUAAUAAUAAAGCAAGACUUCGUUUCAAACUAAAAUAUAUACAUUUAUAUAUUAUUUAUAAUUCUGGUUUGCUUUUAUAUAUAGUUCUGGUUUGCUUCUAGCUCAAAGAUAAAAACCUAAAAAGAUUCCUUUAACUGCUGCCACCAGCACGUUACAUGGUAAAGUAGAAGCUGAUAAUUGAGUUCUGAAUCAUUGGAGUGUCUAGUCUAUUCUAAUGGCCCAGCUCCAGCUCAUGCUACGUCCUUUCUGUCUGAUUAUGUUUGAUCCUGACAUGAUGUUUUUUACUCUCCCUCACAUCACACUUACGCUUGUCCAGCCACAUAUAAUUAUGAUUAAUUUCACUAAUAAGCAAGGCUAAACUAAUCAUAGCAGACCAUUUCAUUAAAUUUAAGUGAAUUUAUUAUUCAGAUAAAUCACGUGACUAAUAUAAAAAUUCACAUAUGUGGUCUAUAUAUAGUACCACCACCGUAAAACAACUUUUUAUUUACAUAUUCGGAAUUAAAUAAGGAAAAUAACAUCCUACUUAUUUUUAAAAUAUAAAUUAAACAAUAAAUUAAUAUAAAUUUGGCAAAGAAUCCUAUGUGCUUCAAACUUAAUCAAACAACUCAAAAAUCUCACCGAUACAUCCCUCAAAUAGGAUUUAGGAUUAUGAAUAAUUCAGUAUAUUUCUAUUCUUCUCAUAAGGAGAUAUUUAUAGUGAUACAAAUACAAGCCAAUCUAGAAAGUACUUAAAAUAAGAAAUAAAAGAAAUAAAUACAAUCCCAGUCAAACCGGUAUACCUAUAAUUACAAAUCAAUUAUAAUAAAGGUAAUUGUCAAUAAUUCCUAUUGUGAUUCAGCGAUUCACACUGGAAAUAUCCAUUUUCUCACCAUAAUUGACCCAGAUCUCGUCCUACAUCACAGAGAAUUUGAAAAAACAUUGAAGUCAAGCAAACAAAAGAAAGAAAAAUAUGGCUAAAAGUUUUCUCAGCAGAGAGAUGACAAAAUAAUAUUACAAGGCAAACCAAGUGAGUAAUGAAGUACUUUCUUUUCCUAUAUAUUUUUCAAAUGUUCUGCCUUCAAAUUCUGAUCGCAUGUUUGCAAGUGCCUAUUAAAAGGAAGAGCCUUUUAAGUCUUCCCAUUUCCUGAAUUUAAAAUAUAUCAUAAAGAGAAAUAAAGAUGGAUUUACCAUUUGUUCGAUAAAUCGUUGUCGUCCAGCAUGGGGGAGUCCCGCUUGAAGCAAUUGUAGAUGAAAAAGAACCACCUGGGAAACAUAAUAAGACACUUUAUUAUUUCACGGUUACCAUUAAAGGUUGAUAGUGUUUGAAAUUUGAAGUACCUGGGGAGAGUUGGAUAUAUCUCUAGGUAAGGAAUGUGGGAUAUUUUGUGCCAGUAUGGUCCAAAGACACAAGAUCUUUGCGACUCAGUUAUGACCCAAAAUAUCUUUGGACACCCAGAGAUCCAAAAUUGUGAAAGUGAAAGAGUCGGGGCCACUGGAAUAGAUGCCAGCUUUGGACAAUUCCAGAGUUGAAGACAUUGAAGAGAGGUGAGGAAUUGAAAGCCCUUGCUGCUCAGUUUCUUCAAAUUUGGGAAGCACCCAAUUGUGAGAUGAGUGAGAGAUUCGGGGAGCAGCAUCUCCAUAUCCAUAUCUGUGUCUCCUUCGGGUGGAAACGACACCACAUAUGGGUCUUCGCCAUCGACCCACAACAUUGUAAGAGAGGUGAGCCUGUGCAACAACUCCCACAUCGGCUUACAAUUCUUAAUUCCGCCGAUUACAAGUGAUGUUAGGUUGGAGGGAAAGGAAGUGAAAUUUAAACCUUCACCGUAAUCAAUAUUCAAUUCCUGAAGACAGUUGAGAUUGCCCAUAUCCGGUAACAUCUCCAAUUUGUUGCAAUUUUUUAUGAUGAUUCGUCUCAGGCUGGAGGCGGCUGUUGUUGUUGGCGAAAGCAAACCCUCACCACUCAGGCUCGGGAUGGAAACCAGACUCCCACAAUCAUAAAUCUGUAAAGUUUGAAGAUUGGUGAGGUGGCAUAGGCCCUCCGGUAUGGAUUUCAGAUUUUGGCAAAAACUGAUGCUAAUAUAUUCAAGACAAUAAUUAGUGUUGUCGUGGGAGAACCCAUCGAACGUUAUUAACUGCAGCUCUCCACAAUGGGAUAUGUGAAGGCUUUUAAGCGCCUUGGGAAACAACUGGGCUCUCAAUGAUAACGACGUUAGAGAUUCACAUUCCCGUAUAUCCAAGUAUCGAAGAGAAAUAUGAGAAGAAGUGGAAGACGAAGAACCCACCUCCUCCUCUACAAAUGACUUCAAACUUUUACACCGCAUUAUCUUUAUUCUUCUUAGAUUUGGGGGAAUCUGGUAUUUUGCAAAAUACAGCAACGAAUCACACUCCUCAAUCCUUAUGACUUCAACGGAAGGAGGAAAACCAACAUCUGGAAAAGAAACCAGACUUGAGCAUCCAAUUAUUUGAAGGUCUUGAAGAGCCGUUAAGUGGUGCAACCCUUCUGGUACCUUCGAAAGACUUGCACAAUAGUUUAAUUGUAGAUAUUUAAGCUUGCAAGUCAAUAUUUGCAAUUGCAGCAAUUCCUCUGCUUCUUUUCCCAGCUUUUCAAGGAGGGAAGAGUUGCCUGAAAUAACCAAACGAUGAAGAGAAAUCAAGUGUUGCAAUACUCUAUCCUCAUUCUCCAGUGAAGAUGUCAGCUCCUCACAUCCGCCAAUCGUCAAUUUUACAACCUUCCUUAAUCCUUUGGUGAAUUCCCCUGUUUGGAACCUCACCUCUUUAAUAUUUGAAAGUUGCAAGGACUUUAAUAACUCAAACUCAACCCCACUUGUCUUCAGCACCGCUUUGCAGCCAUCUAUCCAUAAUCGACCAAUUUGUUUAUAGUUGGAAAUUGAAAUCACCAAUUCCUCGCAUUUAAUAAUUGUAAGUCUUGCUAAAGAAUCAAGGUUCUCUGGCACCUUACCCUCCAAUUGAGGACAAUUUCUGAUUGAAAGAAACUUCAAGCAAGGGAAAACAUCAAUUCCCCGAUCCCCCACAAAAGGAACCCAUUUCUUCCAGUGUUGCAUAUCCUCAAACUCAAGAGUCUCCAGUACUGGAAAAGGCAAGCUACCCUCCCCAUAAAACUCAGGACCGACACUUCUCACUGCAGCCAUUCCUGUAAUAUAAAGUUCUUUGAGCAAAGGCAGUUGCCCAAGGGGUGGCAAGAUUUGACAAUUUUUACAUUUGUCUAAGCGUACAUGCACCAUAGUGGAGAAUAAACGAUCUCCAAUCCAUGUUGAAAAUUCUAAUCCAGCAUAACCCUUGAUGAUGAGUUUUUUAAGCAUUCUAUGAGGUUCUAAUCCGUUAAGCACGCCUAAUUGUGUUUCUUGUGUGGCACUCGACCAUUCUAGCACCAAUUCAUCUACUCUCUCCUUGCAUUUUAAGUCGGCCCUCUGUGCAUCCUCAGCAUCGAUCACAUUCUCUAAUCUUGAGAGCCGUAAUGUCCCUCGGAGAUGGAAUAGGGACCUUAUCUCUCUUAUACCCGAUUGAUCACUACCUUUACCCACAACAAAAUUAGACAAAGAUUGUAGAUUUGUCAACCGACCUAGCUGUGGAGGCAUUGCAUAUUCAAAUGAGUAGUAGAGAUGACGCAGAUUCAAUAGAUUCCUCAAGUUGAUAGGCAGUGCCUCCAAAUAACGACAACCUUCCAAUAUCAAUGUCUGUAAGUUGUAAAGAGUGGUGGUUGAUUCAGGCAAACAUUCUAUCUCUGUGUGAGAGAGAUCAAGAUACCGCAAAUGCUUCAAUUUACCAAUUGAAUUUGGCAGCUCAGUUACUUGAUAGCCAUUGAAAGAAAGCACCCGCAAGUAUUGCAAUUUUGGCAAUAAAUCAAAAGUAACCUUACGGCUUAGAUAAUUUGAAGGAUGAUCAACUGAAAGUGGUAGGAAGGUUCGCAAAUGUUUCAUUUCAGAAAAUGCCUCAAAUCUUUUAACCACGUCAUACUUACCAGAAAUGUAGGAAGCAUGGCGGGCCUUCGUAAAACAUCCAAGUUGUACAUGAUCGCUAUUCUGCUUAUCCUCCAAUCUAACACAAAUAUCUCCUGCUGCCCACUGUGCCAAACCAACAAUGAGGUCAUGCAUUACGUACUUUGAAUUGUUCUUGCUUGAUUUCUGAAAUAAUGACCUCGAUAAGAGCUCCUGAAAAUAGUCAGUUCCUAAAUCUUCCAUUUGCUUAUUAUGUUCUGGUUGUGGUUGAAUCAAACCCUCUGCCAUCCACAGAAGAAUCAAUUGAUGCUCACUAAAUUCAUAGUCAUUUGGAAGUAUCGAACAAUAGGCAAAGCAUCUUUUCAAAUGUGAAGGAAGAUAGUGAUAGCUUAAUCGUAAUACCGGCAGUAUGUCAUGCUCAUUUGAUAGACUCCAUAAUUUGUUGUUCAAUAUUUCCUUCCAUUCAUUCAUCUCUUUACGAAGUAAAAGACCGCCAAGAGUCCUAGCAGCCAGAGGCAAUCCUCUGCAUCUUGAAACAAUUUUCUCCUUGAGUAACUCGAAAUUUGGUGGUAUAUCUCUGUUAACAUUCCUGAAUGCAUGCUGCUCAAAUACUUCAAAACAAACGUCAUUUUUCAUAAGCUCCAAAUUAUGAACUAGAGUGCCAGCUCCCAUCAUUUUCGAAACUUCUGCAUCUCGCGUUGUCACAAUUAUCUUGCUUCCUGCUGCUCCAUCGCGAAAGGGGGACUGCAGUUUCAUCCACAGACCAUAGCUACAUGUGCCCCAAACAUCAUCUAAAACAAUUAAAAACUUCUUUCCAGCUAAUUCCGUAUGCAGAUACUGUUGAACCUGAUUGAAAUCUUCUGUAGGAUAGUGCCGGGAUGUGACUGAUUCGAGAAUUUGCUUUGUCACUCUUUCUAGGUUGAAGUCAUCAGACACGCAUACCCAAGCAGUUGGUUUAAAUUGAUCGGUUGCAACAAUUUCAUUGAACACUUGUGCAGCAAGUGUUGUCUUUCCGACUCCAGCCAUGCCAACAAUGGCAACUACAUCGAAAUUGACGGCACCACGCUCUUGUUUCGACACAAAUUCAACAACCCGCCUUUUGUCUUCGUCCCUUCCAAUCACAGGUCCAUCUGGUUGACUGGAACUGGGAGGUAAAUUUUGACGUGCCGUAGUGGACGACGUCGUCCCAGUAAUGAUAUUCAAACUAAUAAGCUGGUCCUUUUGCUGAGAUAUCUCUUGUAAACGCUGAGUAAUCUUCUGUAUUUCUGAGUUCAUUUUGUAGUUGAAAACACCAUUAGGAACUGAGUUCCAGACCCUUCUUGCGGUAUAAUGCUCUGUCUCCCGUUUGAGCGUUUUAGUAGCAUAUUUGUCCAAUACGUCUUCCACGUCAUAAGCUAAGUCCCUGAGAUCACCCAGCCAAAGCUUCAGCGGCUUGCUCUCGGUGAUUAGUUGCCUCUCCUCCGCCUCAUUCAGAACCGCCCCAAUUGCAGACAAGGUGGCAGUCCAUUUCUGCAGCUUUUGGUCGACGCCUUUUAUGAGUCCGAAGUACUUGAACACCUCCCGACGCGCCAACUUGUCGACCAGCACUUGAAGGAAAGCCACAAGAUAAGCCUCUCCCAUAGUUUCUUGAAUUAGC
RNAcentral lists this long non-coding RNA (8021 nucleotides) under Prunus persica (peach). RNAcentral's name for it is "long non-coding RNA (PPER_LNC001763)". The record is from RNAcentral. Lineage: Eukaryota; Viridiplantae; Streptophyta; Magnoliopsida; Rosales; Rosaceae.